GUGAAGUAGUUCUGAGAAUAAUUUAUGAGGGGAAAAAAAAAGCCAGGUUUCUGACAGCAGAGGACAAAAGCAGCAUUGAGGAAAAACAGGAAGACUAAACUGUGGAUGCAGCCACUGAACACAGCAAGCCAUGCAAGUGAACAAGUAACUAAAAAGGCAUGUAACCAAUGUUACAUGUAGCCAUUUUUUUUCACAAUAAAAGAAACUCUUAAAAUGUUUCCAAAUUUUAAUUUUUGUGUCCUUUUUAACAGAGCCCUCACAUUGGCCCAGUGUAAAUGAGUUAUUUAGGAAUAAAGUUCUCAUCAGCGCCACUAGGAGUAAGCUGGUAAGUGGAUACUUGCUAACCUGCCUGAGAGCUGCAUGCAUUUUAAGUUAAGUGCCCUGUGCUUAUUUACAGAACAAUACCUAAGCCUGUUACCAGAUCUUGUGCAAUAUACUAUGAAACCCUCUUUUCCUCUUGAUUAAAGCGUUGUCCACAAUUCAAGAAUUGUAGCCAAUACAACCC
Long non-coding RNA from Oxyura jamaicensis (ruddy duck), 505 nucleotides. RefSeq lists it as uncharacterized. The transcript is spliced from 3 exons. NCBI's taxonomy places the organism in Eukaryota, Metazoa, Chordata, Aves, Anseriformes, Anatidae. The record is from RefSeq and is a predicted model, not a curated record.